GCUGCCUGUUGCCACCCACGAGAGGUGGGGACUCAGGCGGGACCGCCGGUGACAAACCGGAGGAAGGUGGGGACGACGUCAAGUCAUCAUGGCCCUUAUGUCCUGGGCUACACACGUGCUACAAUGGCCGGUACAGAGCGCAGCGAGGCCGCGAGGCGGAGCGAAUCGCUUAAAGCCGGUCCCAGUACGGAUUGGAGUCUGCAACCCGACUCCAUGAAAUUGGAAUCGCUAGUAAUCGCGCAUCAGCAUGGCGCGGUGAAUACGUUCCCGGGCCUU
This 276-nucleotide ribosomal RNA is filed under the name uncultured Spirochaeta sp. RNAcentral's name for it is "partial 16S ribosomal RNA". It matches the Rfam family "Bacterial small subunit ribosomal RNA", at positions 1107 to 1382 of the family's 1533-position model. Lineage: Bacteria; Pseudomonadati; Spirochaetota; Spirochaetia; Spirochaetales; Spirochaetaceae. The record is from RNAcentral.